RNAcentral lists this transfer RNA (78 nucleotides) under Rhodospirillaceae bacterium. RNAcentral describes it as "tRNA-Pro". It matches the Rfam family "tRNA". From Rfam's summary of the family: Transfer RNA (tRNA) molecules are approximately 80 nucleotides in length. Their secondary structure includes four short double-helical elements and three loops (D, anti-codon, and T loops). Lineage: Bacteria; Pseudomonadati; Pseudomonadota; Alphaproteobacteria; Rhodospirillales; Rhodospirillaceae. The record is from RNAcentral.
CGGAGCGUGGCGCAGCCUGGUAACGUACUAGACUGGGGGGUCUAGGGGUCGCAGGUUCAAAUCCUGUCGCUCCGACCA